This 71-nucleotide transfer RNA is filed under the name Neojurtina typica. Its description in RNAcentral is "tRNA-His". Lineage: Eukaryota; Metazoa; Arthropoda; Insecta; Hemiptera; Pentatomidae. The record is from RNAcentral.
AUUUAAAUAGUUUAUAAUAGAAUAGUAAUUUGUGGUAUUAUUGGAGAAUUAAUAGUAUUGUUCUUUAAAUC